GACGAACGCUGGCGGCGCGCCUAACACAUGCAAGUCGAGCGAUGAAGGUUGGUCAGAUCCUUCCGGUGACGAACUUCCGGAUUAUCGGCGAAGGGGGGACUAACGCGUGAUGAACCUGCCUCUCGCAACGGGAUAGCCUCGGGAAACCGGGAUUAAUACCGUAUGACACUAUCGGAUGGCAUCAUCAGGGAAUUAAAGUGCUAGCGGCGAGAGAUGGGCUCGCGUCUGAUUAGUUAAUUGGUGGGGUAACGGCCUACCAAGACUACGAUCAUGAACCGGCCUGAUGAGGGUGAACGGUCACAUUGGAACUGAGACACAGUCCAAACUCCUACGGGAGGCACCAUGGGGGAAUCUUGCACAAUGGGGGAAACCCUGAUGCAUCAACGCCGCGUGAGCGAUGAAUGUUUUCGAAUCGUACAACUCUGUCCUAUGGGAAGAUAAUGACGGAACCAUAGGAGGAAGCCCCGGCUAACUACGUGCCAGCAGCCGCGGUAAUACCUAUGGGGCGAGCGUUGUCCGGAAUUACUGGGCGUAGAGGGUUCGCACGCGGCAUGACAAGUCCGAUGUAUAAGGCGAAAGCUCAACUUUCAUAAGCAUCGGACACUGUCUAGCUUGAGUGAAGGAGAGGCAAGUGGAAUUCCUAGUGUAGCGGUGGAAUGCGUAGAUAUUACGAGGAAUACCGGUGGCGAGGGCGACUUGCUGGACUUCAACUGACGCUGAGGAACGAAAGCGUGGGUAGCAAACAGGAUUAGAUACCCUGGUAGUCCACGCGGUAACCGAUGAGUGCUAGGUGUCGGGUGUCAACCCUCGGUGCGGUCGUUAACACACUAAGCACUCCGCCUGGGGAGUGCGUGCGCAAGCAUGAAUCUCAAUGGAAUGGACGGGGACCCGCACAAGCAGCGGAGCAUGCGGUUUAAUUAGAAGCAACGCGAAGAACGUUCCCAGGACGGGAAAUACUAGCGCCCAUUGGAGAGAUAAAGUGUUUUUUUCGGAAACGCUAAUACAGGUGGUGCACGGUUGUUGUCAGCUCGUGUCGUGAGAGGUUGGGUUAAGUCCUGCAACGAGCGCAACCCUUACUUCUAGUUGCCAGCCAGUAAUGGUGGGAACUAUAGAGGGACUCCGGAUGAUAAUUCGGAGGAAGGGGGGGAGGACGUCAAAUCUUCAUGCCCUUUAGGUCAUGGGCUACCCCCGUGUUCCAAUGGUCGGUACAGAGGGCAGGGCAAGAGGGAUCUCAAGGGAAUGUCAAAAACCCGCUCCCAGUUGGGAUGGCUGGCUGCAAUUGGUCCCCAGGAAGUGGGAGUGGUUAGUAAUGGCAGAUCAGAAUGCUGCGGUGAAUGCGUUCCCGGGUCU
Molecule: ribosomal RNA, 1350 nt
Filed under: uncultured bacterium
Lineage: Bacteria
Description: partial 16S ribosomal RNA
Rfam family: Bacterial small subunit ribosomal RNA
Source: RNAcentral